UGCAUAUCCAAAAAGCGGAGGAAAAGAAACCAACAGGGAUUGCCUCAGUAACGGCGAGUGAAGCGGCAACAGCUCAAAUUUGAAAUCUGGCCUCUUUGGGGUCCGAGUUGUAAUUUGUAGAGGAUGUUUCGGGUACCGCCUCGGUUUAAAUUUCUUGGAACAGAAUGUCAGAGAGGGUGAGAAUCCCGUCUUGGACCGGCGGUAGGGCCCAUGUGAAACUCCUUCGACGAGUCGAGUUGUUUGGGAAUGCAGCUCAAAAUGGGUGGUAAAUUUCAUCUAAAGCUAAAUAUUGGCCAGAGACCGAUAGCGCACAAGUAGAGUGAUCGAAAGAUGAAAAGAACUUUGAAAAGAGAGUUAAACAGUAUGUGAAAUUGUUGAAAGGGAAGCGCUUGCAACCAGACUUGAGCGCGGCGGUUCCCCCUUCCUUUUGGUUGGGUUACUCCGCCGUGUCCAGGCCAACAUCGGUUCUGGGGGUCGGUUAAAGGCCCGGGGAAUGUACCUACUCCUUCGGGGGUAGACUUAUAGCCCCGGGUGUCAUGCGACCACCCGGGACCGAGGAACGCGCUUCGGCUCGGAUGUUGGCGUAAUGGUUGUCAGCGACCCGUCUUGAAACAACGGACCCAAA
Molecule: ribosomal RNA, 625 nt
Filed under: Exophiala spinifera
Lineage: Eukaryota; Fungi; Ascomycota; Eurotiomycetes; Chaetothyriales; Herpotrichiellaceae
Description: LSU rRNA
Rfam family: Eukaryotic large subunit ribosomal RNA
Source: RNAcentral